RNAcentral lists this ribosomal RNA (419 nucleotides) under uncultured Prevotella sp. RNAcentral's name for it is "bacterial SSU rRNA". It matches the Rfam family "Bacterial small subunit ribosomal RNA", at positions 358 to 774 of the family's 1533-position model. Lineage: Bacteria; Pseudomonadati; Bacteroidota; Bacteroidia; Bacteroidales; Prevotellaceae. The record is from RNAcentral.
GGAAUAUUGGUCAAUGGGCGAGAGCCUGAACCAGCCAAGUAGCGUGCAGGAAGACUGCCCUAUGGGUUGUAAACUGCUUUUAUACGGGGAUAAAGUGAGGUAUGUAUACCUUUUUGUAGGUACCGUAUGAAUAAGGACCGGCUAAUUCCGUGCCAGCAGCCGCGGUAAUACGGAAGGUCCGGGCGUUAUCCGGAUUUAUUGGGUUUAAAGGGAGCGCAGGCUGAUUGCUAAGCGUGACGUGAAAUGUAGCCGCUCAACGGCUGAACUGCGUCGCGAACUGGCAGUCUUGAGUGAGUACGACGUCAGCGGAAUUCGUGGUGUAGCGGUGAAAUGCUUAGAUAUCACGAAGAACCCCGAUUGCGAAGGCAGCCAACAAGGCCUUUACUGACGCUAAAGCUCGAAGGUGCGGGUAUCGAACA